CAAUAGCGUAUAUUAAAGUUGUUGCAGUUAAAAAGCUCGUAGUCGGAUUUCGGGUCGGGCCGAGCGGUCUGCCGAUGGGUAUGCACUGUUUGGCGCGGCCUUCUUUCCGGAGACCGCGGCUACUCUUAACUGAGCGGGCGUGGGAGACGGAUCGUUUACUUUGAAAAAUCAGAGUGUUUCUAGCAGGCAGCUCGCUCUUGCAUAGGUUAGCAUGGGAUAAUUUAAUAGGACUCUGGUGCUAUUUUGUUGGUUUCGAACACCGGAGUAAUGAUUAACAGGGACAGUUGGGGCCGUUUAUAUUUCGUUGUCAGAGGUGAAAUUCUUGGAUUUACGAAAGAUAAACUUCUGCGAAAGCAUUCGGCAAGGAUGUUUUCAUUGAUCAAGAACGAAAGUUAGGGGAUCGAAGACGAUUAGAUACCAU
Molecule: ribosomal RNA, 421 nt
Filed under: uncultured eukaryote
Lineage: Eukaryota
Description: bacterial SSU rRNA
Rfam family: Eukaryotic small subunit ribosomal RNA
Source: RNAcentral